RNAcentral lists this ribosomal RNA (468 nucleotides) under uncultured bacterium. RNAcentral describes it as "partial 16S ribosomal RNA". It matches the Rfam family "Bacterial small subunit ribosomal RNA", at positions 28 to 507 of the family's 1533-position model. The record is from RNAcentral.
GACGAACGCUGGCGGCGUGCUUAACACAUGCAAGUCGAACGGAAGGGCCCUGCUUUUGUGGGGUGCUCGAGUGGCGAACGGGUGAGUAACACGUGAGUAACCUGCCCUUGACUUUGGGAUAACUUCAGGAAACUGGGGCUAAUACCGGAUAGGAGCUCCUGCUGCAUGGUGGGGGUUGGAAAGUUUCGGCGGUUGGGGAUGGACUCGCGGCUUAUCAGCUUGUUGGUGGGGUAGUGGCUUACCAAGGCUUUGACGGGUAGCCGGCCUGAGAGGGUGUCCGGCCACAUUGGGACUGAGAUACGGCCCAGACUCCUACGGGAGGCAGCAGUGGGGAAUAUUGCACAAUGGGCGGAAGCCUGAUGCAGCAACGCCGCGUGCGGGAUGACGGCCUUCGGGUUGUAAACCGCUUUCGCCUGUGACGAAGCGUGAGUGACGGUAAUGGGUAAAGAAGCACCGGCUAACUACGUG